GAUGAACGCUGGCGGCGUGCUUAACACAUGCAAGUCGAACGAAGCACUUUAUUUGAUUUCUUCGGAAUGAAGAUUUUGUGACUGAGUGGCGGACGGGUGAUUAAGGCGUGGGUAACCAGCCUCAUACGGGGGGAUAACAGUUGGAGACGACUGCUAGUACCGCAUAAGCGCACAGGGUCGCAUGACCUGGUGUGAAAAACUCCGGUGGUAUGAGAUGGACCCGCGUCUGAUUAGCCAGUUGGUGGGGUAACGGCCUACCAAAGCGACGAUCAGUAGCCGACCUGAGAGGGUGACCGGCCACAUUGGGACUGAGACACGGCCCAAACUCCUACGGGAGGCAGCAGUGGGGAAUAUUGCACAAUGGGGGAAACCCUGAUGCAGCGACGCCGCGUGAGCGAAGAAGUAUUUCGGUAUGUAAAGCUCUAUCAGCAGGGAAGAAGAAAUGACGGUACCUGACUAAGAAGCACCGGCUAAAUACGUGCCAGCAGCCGCGGUAAUACGUAUGGUGCAAGCGUUAUCCGGAUUUACUGGGUGUAAAGGGAGCGCAGGCGGUACGGCAAGUCUGAUGUGAAAGCCCGGAGCUCAACCCCGGUACUGCAUUGGAAACUGUCGGACUAGAGUGUCGGAGGGGUAAGUGGAAUUCCUAGUGUAGCGGUGAAAUGCGUAGAUAUUAGGAGGAACACCAGUGGCGAAGGCGGCUUACUGGACGAUUACUGACGCUGAGGCUCGAAAGCGUGGGGAGCAAACAGGAUUAGGUACCCUGGUAGUCCACGCCGUAAACGA
Molecule: ribosomal RNA, 783 nt
Filed under: uncultured bacterium
Lineage: Bacteria
Description: bacterial SSU rRNA
Rfam family: Bacterial small subunit ribosomal RNA
Source: RNAcentral